This 119-nucleotide ribosomal RNA is filed under the name Pteropus alecto (black flying fox). Lineage: Eukaryota; Metazoa; Chordata; Mammalia; Chiroptera; Pteropodidae. The record is from RNAcentral.
UUAUAUGGCCAUACCACUCUGAACAAGCCUGAUCCUGUCUGAUCUCGGAAGCUAAGCAGGGUUGGGCCUGGUUAGUACUUGGAUGGGAGACUACCUAGGAAGACCAGGUGCCAUAGGCA